This 301-nucleotide ribosomal RNA is filed under the name uncultured bacterium. RNAcentral describes it as "partial 16S ribosomal RNA". It matches the Rfam family "Bacterial small subunit ribosomal RNA", at positions 509 to 809 of the family's 1533-position model. The record is from RNAcentral.
CAGCCGCCGCGGGAAUACGAAGGGUGCAAGCGUUAAUCGGAAUUACUGGGCGUAAAGCGUGCGUAGGCGGUGAGUUAAGUCUGCUGUGAAAUCCCCGGGCUCAACCUGGGAAUGGCAGUGGAUACUGGCUCGCUAGAGUGUGUCAGAGGAUGGUGGAAUUCCCGGUGUAGCGGUGAAAUGCGUAGAGAUCGGGAGGAACAUCAGUGGCGAAGGCGGCCAUCUGGGACAACACUGACGCUGAGGCACGAAAGCGUGGGGAGCAAACAGGAUUAGAUACCCGCGUAGUCCCUGUCUCUUAUAA